GAAAGUUUGAAGAACUGGGGGCGCAAUAUUUAUAUACGGUACCAUUUGGUUCGUGUAUAAAUAAAAAUUAGUUAUUACAGGAAUAGAAACAAGUAUGAGGAUAAGAAAAAUAAUGUUUGGAUGAAAAUUGGGUUAUUCCCGGGGAUAAGAAAAAUAUUAGGAAGUUUUAUAUAAAAAAUAAAAGUGUUGGUGGGAUAAUCGAGAACUACUAUUUUCGGCUAAAAAAUUAAUAUUUGAAUAUAAAGGGAGGGAUAAGGGCCUAUUCCUAUCCCUAUCUCCUAAAAAAUUAAUGUAGAGUAGAAGGA
Molecule: long non-coding RNA, 305 nt
Filed under: Ananas comosus (pineapple)
Lineage: Eukaryota; Viridiplantae; Streptophyta; Magnoliopsida; Poales; Bromeliaceae
Description: long non-coding RNA (ACOM_LNC031053)
Source: RNAcentral